Amphiprion ocellaris (clown anemonefish) is the source of this 1534-nucleotide long non-coding RNA. Lineage: Eukaryota; Metazoa; Chordata; Actinopteri; Pomacentridae. The record is from Ensembl.
UCGGGCUUCAGCAUAUUUGAAAAAUUUAUCUUCUCUUUUCCAGUUUUCUGCUCCAUAUUCAUCAAUAAUCGGUAAUAAACUAUCAAAGGAUUAAUUGGCUCAGCUCACACAUCAAUGGUAGCAUUUUUAUUCCAUGUUCUGUCCAAAAUGACAUAAAAGGCAACUAAGAUGUCUCAAAAGCCACCCAAAAUCAAAUUACAGUCAAUUUGGAUAAAUUUUAGUUGCUUUGGAUAAAUUUUUUUUUUUUUUUUUUUUUUUUGUAAUUUUGUAAUUUUGGAUGGUUUCUGAGAUAUUUUGAUCAGAUUUUUUGUCAUUUUGUGCAAAUUAUUAGUCAUUGCAUACAAGAUCCUGUCAUUUGGGAUAAAUUAGAAUUUAAAUUUGAUUGAUGUUAGAUAUUUUUUGGUCAUUUUGGGGAGAUUUUAAACAUUUUUGCUCUUUUUUUUCAAUUUUGGAUAUUUUUUGGUCAUUUUAGAUAACUUUAUUUAUUUUGGAUAAUCUUUUGGUCAUUUUAGAUAAUGUUUGGGUCAUUUUGGAUAUUUUUUGUCAUUUUGGAUAAUUUUUUGUCAUUUUGGAUUUUUUUGGGUCAUUUUAGAUCAUUUUUCUUUGAUCAUUUUGGAUAACUUUUGUCAGUUUGGAUUUUUUUUUUUUUUUGGUCAUUUUAUUGGUCAUUUUGAAUAUUUUUUGUCAUUUUGGAAUUUUUUUGGUCAUUCUGGAUAAUGUUUUGGAUAAUUUUGGUCAUUUUGGAUAAUUUUUGGGUCAUUCUGGAUUUUUUUUGUCAUUUUAGAUAAUUUUUUUUUACUCAUUUUGGAUAUUUUUUUCAUUUUAGAAAUUUUCUUUAUUUUGGAUACUUUUUUGGUCAUUUUGGAUAUUUUUUGUCAUUUUGGACUAUUUCUGGAAUAUUUUCGUCACCUUUUGAGUCAUUGUGGUUUAUUUUGGACUUUUUUGUCAUUUUGAGGAGAUUAUGAAAAUAUGAAAACUAGAAGAGAGGACAUAGCUUUACUCUAUUCAUUCUUUAGGGAAACUGUCGGAUGAUAAUUCCAGUGUUUCAUGUGAUUCACUGUUUUCUUCUUCUUCUACCAGAUAAAAAGCUUAUGCUAACAUGUUGUGACACAUGUUUCAUGCAUAAUUAUUACUAUUUAUUUUCUCCUACUUUUUUAGAUUUGGUCUCAGGACAGGAACAUUUUUGCACGUGGAUUAUUGGAAAUUGGAUAGAAUAUCUAAAGUGACACAAACUCCAUCCAGACUACUCCAAAUGUGUUUGUCUAAAAGGAAAUAUAGUUUUAAAAAUAAAUCAAAAACAUCUAAAAAUCUCAAAAUGUGUCCAUGACAUAAGCAAUAUGUAAAAAGAAAUUGCCCACAAAUUGUUCAAAAUGAUUUAAAAUGAUCAAAACCUUUUUAACUUUAUAUAGAAACAACUUUUAGAUAAAUAUCUGUAGUAUGUGGAGACAAAAUGACCACAGAGACACAAAACAACAAAAUAAACACACAAAGCAACAACAAGGUACAAAAUAACACAAAAAAGACCUGAAAUGGC